GCGAAUUUAAGCACUGAUAACGUACCGGUUCGCUUGAGCGUAUGGCAUAACGCACGUCAUCUUUAUUCGCAUGCGAACGAGCUGAGUAAUUUUGGCUGGCAGUGCGUUAGCUUAAGCAACUAACGCAAACUUAACGCGGUCGUAAACGCGACCAGGUGACUUUUAACGCGAGCGUUACCUUACCUAUAGGUGUAACGCAUACGCAAGCGAAUGUCAUACGCGGCUGCGACUGGUGCGAUUGCGUAUGCACAUGCGAAUGUGGCGAAUGAACUCGCGAGUUUUACGCGACCCUAAACGCGACCAGGUGACUUUUAACGCGAGCGUUAGCUUAGCUAUAGGUGUAACGCAUACGCCUGCGACUGGUGCGAAUGCGUAUGCACAUGCGAAUGUGGCGAAUGAAUUCGCGAGUUUUACGCGACCCUAAACGCGACCAGGUGACUUUUAACGCGAGCAUUAGCUUAGCUAUAGGUGUAACGCAUACGCCUGCGAAUGGUGCGAAUGCGUAUGCACAUGCGAAUCUGGGACUGGUCUGGGUUGACACUACUGCGAUUCGCGGUUUAAGGUCCUGGGUUCGAUUCCUGGGGAGACCCCCGAAUUAGUCGGGAGCGCGAGAUUAUGGCUAGCUGCUGAGAUGAGGAGUUGAGGUCGCAGUUGAUGGACCAGAUUCGCACGCUGGAUUGGUGGCGAUUGCCGAACCCUCCGUCUCUUCGGUUGUUCGGGUGAAUGGAUGAGGAGGGGUCCUAGACGGCUGGACCCGCCGCCUUGGACUUACAGUUCGUAUGGCGAAGUAUAGUGUGGUAGUGGUGGAUGGUGCUAUAAGAUGAUAAAUCGUAGAACUGACAAUGUGAUAAAAGCGGCCCAGAAGCCUCCUACUCUGUAACAUUACUACUACAUGCGAAUGUGGCGAAUGAAUUCGCGAGUUUUACGCGACCCUAAACGCGACCAGGUGACUUUUAACGCGAGCAUAUCGCCAAACGCAAGGGAUUGCGAAUGGCAUACGCGACUGCGAAUCCUGCGAAUGCAUGUGCUACCAUUUGAAUUUUACGCGAGUGACUGCGACUUGUGUGCGGGACUGCGAACUGUACGGCCAACCGUGCAAUACAAAAGCUUUACAAUAGCAGUACACGAGCUGUACAAAGUGCAAAGUGCACCGCCGUUGCACAUGACCUGCAGGUUCACAGCUGUGAACCACAGCACUCACUGCUUUCUUCAUGCAUUUCAACUAUCCCUGAAUGACAGGUACGAAUUCAUAGCAAAUCCUAACAUGACCGAUGCAACUCAGCCAGCAACUCUUACCACGGAAAAGGGUCCAACAGUCUAACGUCAGAAAAAAUGGACACACAAAUGUUAAGCGCAUGUAACUGUACCACAAAACAGCCACUAUUGUCUUCUUAUUAAAGCGCUCAAUCCUCGCCUCCGCUGGUGUCAUCUUCACGAACGACGGCAUAUAUCUGCAUAUGAAAGGAUCACAACAAAUCAUUGUUUAGGCAGGAACAUAUACCCCGCCGGCGGACGGUCCCCUGUCCGCAACGCCGUACAUCCUGACCGUUCCAGCGGACGGCUAGCGGACGGUCAUGGAAACGAUGGUCCAAAGCUCCAAAACAUCUGUAUGUAGAUGAUUCAUGAGACGCUAAUAAUUAAUGCUCCAGCUUGCACUCCUUGGCAAGCAAUUAACGCGCAAAACACUCGCCAGGAGAAACUAACCCCAAAAUUGUGACGCACAUAGCCAAAAGGCUUCUAGCAUAAAAGGAGAAAGCAAUCGAAAGGAAAAAGACAACAUCCGAAGGCGCGCGGCGGACAUUCUAAUGACCUGUUUAUGUAACCUGCUUAAAUAACACCAACGCACUGGAACAAUUGAAUCAUGCAAUAAGGUCAUUGCAAUGGCCACAAGCACUGGGCAUUAGUGAAAGGGAUUCAGCAAAGACUGACCGUCACGCCCAACACGUCGUUCCAUCCCUUUGUCGGCUCUGAAUGGCACAAUGAAUGCUCUACUGGGUAAAUGAUCAUUUGGCGGUGGAAAGAGGCCAUUGUAUAGCAUCCGAGCUGGCGCACAGCUUGCGCAUGUCCCCAAGACCCAACACGGCACCACGCCCCGCACCCGGUUACGCCCUUGUCCUGCAUUCCACCUGCCAGCCUGUCUGUGCAACACAGCGCAUGGCGGGCAGGCCAAUGAAGCCAUACCAAAGUUUCGUUCAAGACUGGGGUCCCAAGCUCUCAGAAUCCCAGGCUGCCAGGCUCCCAGGCACAUAGGCUGCCAGGCACAAAGUCUCUUAGAAUCCCAGGUUCCCAGGCUCCCAGGCACACAGGCUCCCAGGCACACAGGCUCUUAGCAUCCCAGGCUGCCAGGUUCCCAGCCUGCCAGGCACACAGGCUGCCAGGCACAAAGGCUCUUAGAAUCCCAGGCUGCUAGGUUCCCAGGCUGCCAGGCACAAAGGCUCUUAGAAUCCCAGGCUGCCAGGCUGCCAGGUUCCCAGGCACACAGGCUCCCAGACUCUUAGCAUCCCAGGCUGCCAGGUCCCCAGGCUCCCAGGUUCCCAGGCUCUCAGAAUCCCAGACUCCCAAGCACACAUGCCCUCAGAAUCCCAGGCUUCCAGGUUCCCAGGCUCUCAGAAUCCCAGGCUCCCAGGCACACAUGCUCUCAGAAUCCCAGGCUCCCAGGCACACAUGCUCUUCGAAUCCCAGGCUCCCAGGUACACAUGCUUUUAGAAUCCCAGGCUUACAGGCACACAUGCUCCCAGGUACACAGGCUCUCAGAAUCCCAGGCUGCCAGGUUCCCAGACUCUUAGGUUCCAAGGCUCCCAGGCUCCCAGGCUCUCAGAAUCCCAGGCUCCCAGGCACACACGCUCUUAGAAAGCCAGGCUGCCAGGUCCCCAGGCUCCCAGGUUCCCAGGCUCUCAGAAUCCCAGGCUCCCAAGCACGCAUGCUCUUAGAAUCCCAGGCUCCCAGGUCCCCAGGCUCCCAGGUUCCCAGGCUCUCAGAAUCCCAGGCUCCCAGGUUCCCAGGCUCUCAGAAUCCCAGGCUCCCAGGCACACAAGCUCUUAGAAAGCCAGGCUGCCAGGUCCCCAGGCUCCCAGGCACACAGGCUCUCAGAAUCCCAGGCUGCCAGGUUCCCAGACUCUUAGGUUCCAAGGCUCCCAGGCUCCCAGGUUCCUAGGCUCUCAGAAUCCCACGUCUGUAAUUUUUCCACGUGACUAUAGACGAACUAUUUUGAGUUUUAGACGGCUCGUCUAUAGCUGAGUUUUUUAGACGAUAUAGACGACCGUCUAAUAGACGACCCAUAGACGACCGUCUAUACCCAGUCGUCUAUAGACAGGUCGUCUAUAGAUUACGUCUAUAGACGACGCGGAUAUAGACGGUUAUCUAUAGACAAGUCGGAUAUAGACACUGUCUAUAGACAGUCGGGUAUAGGCUAUUAUCUUUUAGACGGCAGUGGAUGGCGGGCAUCGUUCCUUAUUCAUGUGUUACAAUCUCAAGUCGUUUCCUCUCUGAACUUCCACCAGGGCUUCAUCCACCAUGUUAAUCAGGUUCCGGGUCCAGGUUUGUCAUUGCCAUUGACACUAGCAAACCAGUGGUUGUCAUCAACCUUGGCUGAUGAAACCUCAACCUUGGUUGUCAUCAACGACAUCAAUAUCCACAGUAUCCAAAUCCAUGUCUCCUUUAGGCAUACACAAGGCAUGCGCUUCCAGGCUCCAACCAUCCCAGCAUCACAAGUACUGAGUACUACUUAAACCAUGAGUGCUUCUCCUUUUCCUUUUCCAUAAGGACCCUGGUAAGCUCUUCCCGAGCCGCCGAGGGCUGCAAAUCCUUCCGUGCCCUCACCUCAUCCAUCACCUCCUCACUCACAACAGGAAUCAGGUCAUCUGGGGGCAACCCCACCAGGUCAUUCAAGACAAACUUAGGGUUCAGCUCGGCAGCUGUGUGCCCACCCUUGCUGUUACCAGUCACAACCCUGCGUGACUUCCCACCCUUCCCACUGGCACUGGGUGCCUGUGCCCCCUUGCCCUUUGGGGGCACACAGACAAUGCAAACCCGCUGCAGCACUGUCUCCAGCGGUAUGCAGCCGAAUGAUGCGGCUGGCUGGCCACUCCGCCUGUCAAGGGUCACGAGUGGGUGCAAAUGUGGGAUUAGUGUUUGUGGGGCUGUCAGUGUCCCCAGGGCAGGGUUAGACCUGAUCUGCCCAUGCGAUGGCCCUUCAAGUCAAGAACCUCCUGCUUCUGCAAGAUGUAGACAGCAACAGAAUGACAAAUACUACAACAUGUUCUUAUACUUUGGCCCAAAUAGACUCUGAGGUCACUCACCAGGCAGUUGCUCUCGUAUUCGUCAUCGUGUGCAGCCCCCCUGGCCGUGACAAUGUUGAGCUUGCUGGUAACCUGCAGGAGAGUACAGAAGCAAGUGACAAGCAGUGAAGCGUAGCAACUGGGGGGGGGGGGUAUCUCCAUUUUCUUGUUGGUGAAUUGGUAGCUGGCCCACAGGAUUUUGACAUAGCUUUCUUUUGGGCCGGUUGUGGUCAGGUCGGUCAUGCCAUACUGUCUAAUGUCCCUUGCUUGCGUCCUUGAAGGGUGCCAGGGCCACAUCAAGUGCGGCCUGGAGGACCUUGCGCUUCAGGGACCGGAAGGACAGGCUAUCCUUGCCCUCACCUGCAUGUGAGUGGUACACAGAGGUGGUAGUCCCACAAAGAAUUGUAGAUACCCUUCAAAGUAUCUGCAGAUGGGGUGUAGGCCUCGCCUGGAAACUGCUUGAACAGGCGCAAAAACUCCUGGAGCUUGCAACCUGCAGGCAUCACAUUUCAACUUGCAGUAAGCAUUGUGGCUUGCUAUCAACUAGGCACCAAAAACAGCAUGCUUAGAAACAGUGAGUAAUGCUGGUAAACACUGGUAACACUGGCCAAUGCUGGUAAAAACGCACCCGAGAGGUUCGCCGCGAGGAAGGUCUCCACCUCUGAAGACAAACUUUUCUCAGGUGGCUUUUCACUAUUUGCCUCUGCAUACUUGUCUAGGUGGUCAAGGUAUGAGACGCCCAUCUCGAACGUGCCAAUUGAUGGCUCGUCAAGAGGAACACUCUGCCUGCAUUCCACAUUCACCACCAGUACUGGCUCAUUGUCUGUGAAUAAUUUAUCAUUGUUGGCGACGUCUCCACCGGCAACGCAGCAGCCAGGCAGCGUUGACUCGAUAACACCCUUGCAGCCAUAGGGGUUGCGAAGGAGAUGCAGGCGCAGCUCCUUGAACUCUCGUCCACAGUGAGGGCACCUCUGGGUGGACAUAUUGAUGACCAGUCGCGGCAGGUGAGAAUGCUCAGUGAAAGUCUGGCAGUUGACCAGGGCCUCUCCCUAUGUGAUAACCAGUGAAGUAAUUGCGACACCUGUGUCACUAUCUAAUUAUAGGAAAUUACACUAAAUAGAUUUGCUGUAACGUCCUCCAGGAAUGCGCAGAAUGUCUCGCCGAGGCCUGGGCACUGCUUCACUAGCUGUGGCUGCACUACAUAAAGNNNNNNNNNNNNNNNNNNNNNNNNNNNNNNNNNNNNNNNNNNNNNNNNNNNNNNNNNNNNNNNNNNNNNNNNNNNNNNNNNNNNNNNNNNNNNNNNNNNNNNNNNNNNNNNNNNNNNNNNNNNNNNNNNNNNNNNNNNNNNNNNNNNNNNNNNNNNNNNNNNNNNNNNNNNNNNNNNNNNNCCAGGCUCCCAGGCACACAGGCUCCCAGGCACACAGGCUCUUAGCAUCCCAGGCUGCCAGGUUCCCAGCCUGCCAGGCACACAGGCUGCCAGGCACAAAGGCUCUUAGAAGCCCAGGCUGCUAGGUUCCCAGGCUGCCAGGCACAAAGGCUCUUAGAAUCCCAGGCUGCCAGGCUGCCAGGUUCCCAGGCACACAGGCUCCCAGACUCUUAGCAUCCCAGGCUGCCAGGUCCCCAGGCUCCCAGGUUCCCAGGCUCUCAGAAUCCCAGACUCCCAAGCACACAUGCCCUCAGAAUCCCAGGCUUCCAGGUUCCCAGGCUCUCAGAAUCCCAGGCUCCCAGGCACACAUGCUCUCAGAAUCCCAGGCUCCCAGGCACACAUGCUCUUCGAAUCCCAGGCUCCCAGGUACACAUGCUUUUAGAAUCCCAGGCUUACAGGCACACAUGCUCCCAGGUACACAGGCUCUCAGAAUCCCAGGCUGCCAGGUUCCCAGACUCUUAGGUUCCAAGGCUCCCAGGCUCCCAGGCUCUCAGAAUCCCAGGCUCCCAGGCACACACGCUCUUAGAAAGCCAGGCUGCCAGGUCCCCAGGCUCCCAGGUUCCCAGGCUCUCAGAAUCCCAGGCUCCCAAGCACGCAUGCUCUUAGAAUCCCAGGCUCCCAGGUCCCCAGGCUCCCAGGUUCCCAGGCUCUCAGAAUCCCAGGCUCCCAGGUUCCCAGGCUCUCAGAAUCCCAGGCUCCCAGGCACACAAGCUCUUAGAAAGCCAGGCUGCCAGGUCCCCAGGCUCCCAGGCACACAGGCUCUCAGAANNNNNNNNNNNNNNNNNNNNNNNNNNNNNNNNNNNNNNNNNNNNNNNNNNAAAAAUCACUGGUUGGAAUGGCUGUUCAUCACAGCCUGUGCUGGUGAGAGUUUUCAAAACCAGCCGGCCUGUGCUGGGAAGUUGCCAGACAUUGCAGUUAUAAAGGACCAUGACGAGCCUUUGUUGUGGGCUUGUCGAUGAGGGGUGGGCUUCACUGAAGUCUGCCCAAUUAUCUCAAACUGCUACAGUUUUGUGGUAAGGAAGUGGGAGAGGCUGGGCACUGCCUGGUCCCCACAGCAUGUGCUGGGGUUUUGUAAGUAUGGCGAUAAUCGUUACAUGCCAGGCAGUGUUAGCCUGCCAGAACCUUGCCAACAUUGAUGCAGAACAGACAUCAGCUCAGCGGCAUGGUUUAACCCAAGCAGACACUCUCCAGCAUAUUGAACUCCUCUCACCGUCUACCCAUCGUCUAUUCUUCGUCUACAAUAGAUGAAUCGACUAUAGACGACAUGUAUAGACGACUCGACUUUAGACGAACUAUUGUAGAUGACUCGUCUAAUAGACGGGUCUUCAGGAUAUAGACGACCGAAAAAAAUACAGACGCAGGCUCCCAGGCACACAAGCUCUUAGAAAGCCAGGCUGCCAGGUCCCCAGGCUCCCAGGUUCCCAGGCUCUCAGAAUCCCAGGCUCCCAGGCACACAAGCUCUUAGAAAGCCAGGCUCCCAGGUCCCGAGGCUCCCAGGUUCCCAGGCUCUCAGAAUCCUACGCUCCCAGGCACACAGGCUCUCAGAAUCCCAGGCAGCCAAGCUCCCAGGUUCCCAAGCUCCCACGCUCCCAGGUUCCCAGGCUCUCCGGUUCCCAGGCUUUUAGAAUCUCAGGCUCACAGGCACACAAGCUCUUAGAAAGCCAGGCUGCCAGGUCCCCAGGCUGCCAGGUCCCCAGGCUCCCAGGUCCCCAGGCUGCCAGGUCCCCAGGCUGCCAGGUUCCCAGGCUGCCAGGUUCCCAGGCUGCCAGGUCCCCAGGCUGCCAGGUCCCCAGGCUGCCAGGUCCCCAGGCUGCCACGCUCCCAGGUCCCCAGGCUGCCAGGUCCCCAGGCUGCCAGGUCCCCAGGCUGCCAGGUCCCCAGGCUGCCAGGUCCCCAGGCUCCCAGGUUCCCAGGCUCCCAGAUUCGCAGGCUCUCAGAAUCCCAGGCUCCCAAGUAAACAUGCUAUCAGAAACCCAUGCUUACAGAAUCCCAGGCGCCCACACUCCCACGUUCCGAGGUUCCUAGGCACACAGGCUUUUAGAAUCCUAGGCUUCCAGGCACACAGGCUCUCAGACACACAGGGUCCCAUGCACACAGGUCGCCCAUGGCUGCGGUCCAAGCCUGGCCCCAAACCGCCAGAUAAAUAUGCUCCUACAUCUAAUUGACUUAGCCGAAUGCUAGUUUUAGCUUUGUUUACAUUUCAUGCAUUUGCUGGCUCCUAGCGCUUGCAUCGAUGUAGCCCCCAGUAUAGCACAUUGCAUUACAUUAUCCAUGAAAAGAUUAUAAAACUUUAAUUCACUAUAAGCUCAGCAAAUUGCAAGGCUAAAGGGCUCAUCUGGACGCAGUUUGCAUGCCGUGCUGCCGGCUUGCGCAAGGAAUCUCUGCGCGCGCUCCACGCCCGCGCGCGCCGCGAGCACCAGGAUAAACUACAACAAAAUGUCUUUUGCUUCGUGCAAAAAUAUGUUGGUAUGUGUUGGUAUGUGUGCCCGGAAAGCUGUGCCGGACGGUCGACCGUCCGGCAGACCGUCCGCCAUGGACGGCCCCACCGUCCGCCAGGGGGGGUAUAUGAACCACACAUAGUUGUGAGCAUGUUACGUACAAUGACGGCUGUAGGUGUGACACCGGCAUAACGUGCCUCGAAAUAAGGCAAUAAAAAGCAUUUAGUUAAUAGCCAUGGUCUUGCAACCAGAGGCUUCAUACCUCCGAACGGCCGCUACGUGGCCUGCCACGUCCCGUUUGAGCCCGACUCUUGUUCAUAUCCUUACCACCAUCCUUGCGCUUGUCCUAUUCCUUGCGAUUCUCCUGCUCGUGUCCUUGGAAUGUAAAAUGACAAGGCAUAAUGUCAGUGUAUGCACCUGCAUGAUGGCCACUUACUGCCGGUGCCGUCUAGUCCCCCUUUUCCUGCUUUCCCCUGCUUGCCUGCGUNNNNNNNNNNNNNNNNNNNNNNNNNNNNNNNNNNNNNNNNNNNNNNNNNNAUGCUAAUUCAUUAGGCUUUACCUAACACUGUCGUCAUUGGAGGAUCAGCGUGAGUAUAAGAAAUGCAUACGCGCUAAACAACAAAUUCAAGAUAAUCUUAUUAGUGCAAUGCGCGCAAUGAAUUACUGCCCUGAGGACACGGGCAGCACUGGGCCUUACGCCCAACUUACUCCCAACUCCCAACUAACCCUCUUACUUAACGCAAGCUCGCAUAAGUUGUUGCGUCAGAGACAAAUGCCAAAGGAGAAGAUACCCCCUCUAACGGUUGAAAUACUGAACCACCACGGCGCUUCGUGCCGAGCCGCAAGAGGGCCAAAGACGUGAGAGCUGCCAGACAGGCGCGCACACCGAAACUCCUGAAGCCAAACGCCUCGAAAGACCUCCGAACGACACCCCAGCAGCAGGGGCGGCGGACGCGCCACCUCUACGCAGGCAAAAGAGGGAACAAAAUAAACGCAAAGCGCCAACAGACUGACCCACCGCCACCGACGCGACGGAUCACUCAACAGUUGCUGACGGACGCCCACUGAAGGAAGGGUCGAUAGGAAGCCAAAACAUGUCCCCGCUCAGGGGUGACCAAGCGGCCAAAACUAGGGGCUUGAACUGAAACACUGGGUCUGCAACAAUGACCGCUCCACGAACCCAGGUCGCCGACAGCAGAGAAAACGGACAAAGAAAAGACACAGACCUAAUACGACAAACAACAAACACAAGGCCGCGAAAUGGAGACACACGAACCCAUUCAGCGCCAAAAGAAGUACUCGAACUUAGUCCAGAACCAGCGGUGUUGGAACCGGCGGUACCAUCGGAUAUCAAACAAAGCGAAACCGCUCCGAAAUCAGGGGAAUUCCAAUCGCUGGUGACACAACACGAUGAAAAAACCAACUACCUGCACGGUGCCUUCCGAGCGCACACCUUCGCACAACAAAUUCCUUCCUAUUUGCUCGUCGUAACUGCGUGUCCGCUCCCCUGCACAAUAUGCAACUAAGGCGCUACCUUAUUGGGGGUCCCAUUGCCCCUACAAGAUAUUAUGAGCCCCCAGGGGGGGGGCAUGAAAUGCUAGGAAAGCGCACCUCGGGGGCACACGACCCCGCAAUUGCAGCGCCACACUGACCGACCGAGUGCUAAGCAAAGCACCCACAAGACGACUGCACCCGCACUGCCAGACCUGCCAGGAAGGGGGGGAGAUAGGUGCUCGACCCUCCCUCAUCCGGCACAAACAGCUCCGUAUUCGAAGGCAGGAACACAAGGUCAACCGCCAACUCCAUAAACUGUUGCCACCAAGGUUGGGCCGUCCAGUACGGCACGACUAGGAAAGACACCCUAGCACUGCUUGAGUGCACGUGUUUUCCACACUGAUUAAGACAACACGCUGCUGAAAGAACGGAAGAAAGGACUCUAAUGCAGGAUGGACAGCAUGCAACUCCUUCCAACUGACGUGUCAUAGAGCUCUGGUGCCGACCAAUAACCGCGCGCCACACCAUCAUGCAGGACCGCGCCCCACGAAUGGCGCGAUGCAUCCACUGAAAGCUCAACUUCAGCAGGACCCUGGUGAAUAGCCGCCGAGCACUGGUGGGUAGGGAUGUCCGCCCACCACCCAAAGUCACGUAACGACCCACGGGGCAAGCACACUCGACCAGGAUAACCAACCGGUUGCUUCACAUCAUCGUAACAAUUGCGGAGAAAUAAGAGAGCUGGAGUAAGGGCCAAUUUGAUGCUCUGUGCAAAACUACAAAACUUAGCCAGCUCGCACUUCUGCACCAGACGCUGAUUUUUCUUUGCCGUGAUCCGCAACCCGAUCGCCAGCCACCACAAUUUUGCGAGCUUUUGCUUAGGCACCUCAAACACACCAGCUGCUGUAUUGACAGUAAUGCCUAAGUGAUACACUGACUGCGACGGCUCCCACUGGCACUUGGUGGGAUGACAUGACAAACCCAAAAACUCGAUCAUCUCACGCACCCAGCGUGCACAAAAACGUGCUUGCUCCUGGGAAGUAAACAUGAUUAGGAAAUCAUCCAAAUACGGUAGUACUCGCGCACCCGGACGUGAAGGACGCUCUGUCUGGGAAACGGGAAAAAACUUGUGGGCCGAGAGCAAGGGGCGAGGGACACUUGUGACCCUUGCCCGCCGCAGCCAAAGAAUCCCGCCAAAUACGCAGCACAUUGUGCAUGUACUGCUGAAGAGACGGUGUCUCUCUGGGACCUAGCAGACACGGCCAAGAGUAAUUGGCCGUUACACGUAGUCGGGAGGUCCGCGACCUGCCACCGAUAGCCCCUGCUGGNNNNNNNNNNNNNNNNNNNNNNNNNNNNNNNNNNNNNNNNNNNNNNNNNNCAUACGCGCUAAACAACAAAUUCAAGAUAAUCUUAUUAGUGCAAUGCGCGCAAUGAAUUACUGCCCUGAGGACACGGGCAGCACUGGGCCUUACGCCCAACUUACUCCCAACUCCCAACUAACCCUCUUACUUAACGCAAGCUCGCAUAAGUUGUUGCGUCAGAGACAAAUGCCAAAGGAGAAGAUACCCCCUCUAACGGUUGAAAUACUGAACCACCACGGCGCUUCGUGCCGAGCCGCAAGAGGGCCAAAGACGUGAGAGCUGCCAGACAGGCGCGCACACCGAAACUCCUGAAGCCAAACGCCUCGAAAGACCUCCGAACGACACCCCAGCAGCAGGGGCGGCGGACGCGCCACCUCUACGCAGGCAAAAGAGGGAACAAAAUAAACGCAAAGCGCCAACAGACUGACCCACCGCCACCGACGCGACGGAUCACUCAACAGUUGCUGACGGACGCCCACUGAAGGAAGGGUCGAUAGGAAGCCAAAACAUGUCCCCGCUCAGGGGUGACCAAGCGGCCAAAACUAGGGGCUUGAACUGAAACACUGGGUCUGCAACAAUGACCGCUCCACGAACCCAGGUCGCCGACAGCAGAGAAAACGGACAAAGAAAAGACACAGACCUAAUACGACAAACAACAAACACAAGGCCGCGAAAUGGAGACACACGAACCCAUUCAGCGCCAAAAGAAGUACUCGAACUUAGUCCAGAACCAGCGGUGUUGGAACCGGCGGUACCAUCGGAUAUCAAACAAAGCGAAACCGCUCCGAAAUCAGGGGAAUUCCAAUCGCUGGUGACACAACACGAUGAAAAAACCAACUACCUGCACGGUGCCUUCCGAGCGCACACCUUCGCACAACAAAUUCCUUCCUAUUUGCUCGUCGUAACUGCGUGUCCGCUCCCCUGCACAAUAUGCAACUAAGGCGCUACCUUAUUGGGGGUCCCAUUGCCCCUACAAGAUAUUAUGAGCCCCCAGGGGGGGGGCAUGAAAUGCUAGGAAAGCGCACCUCGGGGGCACACGACCCCGCAAUUGCAGCGCCACACUGACCGACCGAGUGCUAAGCAAAGCACCCACAAGACGACUGCACCCGCACUGCCAGACCUGCCAGGAAGGGGGGGAGAUAGGUGCUCGACCCUCCCUCAUCCGGCACAAACAGCUCCGUAUUCGAAGGCAGGAACACAAGGUCAACCGCCAACUCCAUAAACUGUUGCCACCAAGGUUGGGCCGUCCAGUACGGCACGACUAGGAAAGACACCCUAGCACUGCUUGAGUGCACGUGUUUUCCACACUGAUUAAGACAACACGCUGCUGAAAGAACGGAAGAAAGGACUCUAAUGCAGGAUGGACAGCAUGCAACUCCUUCCAACUGACGUGUCAUAGAGCUCUGGUGCCGACCAAUAACCGCGCGCCACACCAUCAUGCAGGACCGCGCCCCACGAAUGGCGCGAUGCAUCCACUGAAAGCUCAACUUCAGCAGGACCCUGGUGAAUAGCCGCCGAGCACUGGUGGGUAGGGAUGUCCGCCCACCACCCAAAGUCACGUAACGACCCACGGGGCAAGCACACUCGACCAGGAUAACCAACCGGUUGCUUCACAUCAUCGUAACAAUUGCGGAGAAAUAAGAGAGCUGGAGUAAGGGCCAAUUUGAUGCUCUGUGCAAAACUACAAAACUUAGCCAGCUCGCACUUCUGCACCAGACGCUGAUUUUUCUUUGCCGUGAUCCGCAACCCGAUCGCCAGCCACCACAAUUUUGCGAGCUUUUGCUUAGGCACCUCAAACACACCAGCUGCUGUAUUGACAGUAAUGCCUAAGUGAUACACUGACUGCGACGGCUCCCACUGGCACUUGGUGGGAUGACAUGACAAACCCAAAAACUCGAUCAUCUCACGCACCCAGCGUGCACAAAAACGUGCUUGCUCCUGGGAAGUAAACAUGAUUAGGAAAUCAUCCAAAUACGGUAGUACUCGCGCACCCGGACGUGAAGGACGCUCUGUCUGGGAAACGGGAAAAAACUUGUGGGCCGAGAGCAAGGGGCGAGGGACACUUGUGACCCUUGCCCGCCGCAGCCAAAGAAUCCCGCCAAAUACGCAGCACAUUGUGCAUGUACUGCUGAAGAGACGGUGUCUCUCUGGGACCUAGCAGACACGGCCAAGAGUAAUUGGCCGUUACACGUAGUCGGGAGGUCCGCGACCUGCCACCGAUAGCCCCUUGCUUGGGCGUAAACAUAUUGAGUCUGAGGUGCUGUUACCGACACACAGCAGGGGCUUUAAGGUAGCCUGUCCUGACGGGCGGCCUGUCAGUAUUCUAGCACCUUGACAGCCGCCAGUCAUAACAGCCUGACGUGGGGCCUUUCGCAGGCCACGGGGCGACAUGGCACACCCCCUUCACACCAACAUGCCCCCUCGAGUCGCACCAGGGGCCUGACUGCAAACUGCUAGUACUGACGAGCUCGCUCGGCCGCCAAGUCCGCGGUCCAGGCCGGCUGCUCAACGCUCAGCAGACACAAUCGCAGCUUGCCAGCCUUCAGCCUGCUGGCUUUGCGGUCUGGUGCCGCAGUCCAAACACACACAGAAAACAGCACGGCACAGCACCUUAUGCCCUGCCUACGGCGCCCUUCGGGCACUAACCUGCCCAUUCGGGCGCCUGCCCACGCGCCCUUGGUGCCCCCCUACCUCGACACACUUCUUUUGAGCCCUCAGCAUUUUUCCACUCCCCCCUCGCAUGGUGCUCUGUCGAUCUAAGUGACGCCCAGCACCGUGCGGCAGUGCACGAACUUGAUUUCACCCAGUGCCUUGGUGAGAAUGUCAGCCACCGUGUUGUUGGUGGUACAAUAGCUGAGCUUAACCUCACCGCGCACGGCCGUUUCACGCAUGAUGUGGUGGUGCAGAUCGAUAUGCUUGGAGCGCACCAACGUGAUGGGGUUGUUGCCGAGGCUGAGCGCGCCUUGUGAAUCCAGCUGGAUGUUGAUGGCGCCGGGUCGCCCGCCAGCUUGCGCAGCCACAUAGUGCCUCGUGCACGGCUGCUGCGGCGGCCUGGUACUCGGCCUCGAGGCAGCCAAGGUGCGCUGCAACUGGCUGCUCCAGCUGACCGCUGCACUGCCGAGCAAGAAUGUGUAGCCCGUGGUGGACCGGCGGGUGGCUGGGUCGCCGGCCCAGUCCGCAUCACUGUACCCGCCGAAGUUGCUGGUGUCGCUGCUGCUGUCGCCACGGUAUCGCAGCCCGAGUGUGCAGGUGCCGGAUAGGUAGCGCAUCAUGCCCAGCACGAGGCCCAUGUGGGCCUUGGUGGGGACGGGCAUGUGUCACACGAGCAUGCUCAGAGUGUGUGUAAUGUCCGGGCGUGUGCUGCUGGUAGGUAUUUCAGCUCGCCCACCAGCACACGGUAGUCGCUGCCAUCAAUCACUGUCGGCUGGGCGUCGCUGGCUGGCAGAGCACACAUGCCCUGAGGCAGCAGGGUGGCGCGCGGCUUGGCAUUCUCCAGGCUGUGGCGCUGCAGCAGCUGCUCCACAUAGCGCUGCUGCGUGAGCACGAUGCAGCGGUUGCGGCCAUCCUGGACGAUCUUCAUGCCAAGGUAGUAGUGCGCCUCGCCAAGGUCACGCACUGUGAAGCAACCGGCGAUGGCUGCCUUGGUGGCCGCGACCACUUGCAGGUUGUCCGCCGUCACCAGCAUGUCGUUGGCAGUGUGCUCUGCACUGUUGCCUCCGCCGCCGCCACUGCCAUCGGGCACGUUAGACUUCGCGCUGUCAGCGCUACCACCUGAGCAGCGGUGGACUUCCCGACUCUCUGCCGCCGCCGCUGCUGCUGCUGUCAAGGGGGGGGGGGUCACUGACCGGGGCCAGCGGGAGUGUGCAGGGACUGCCGUUGACUGCGGGUGUUGGGGUGGAGGGUUGGUGUUGGGGUCACCGGAGGUGGGGCGGCCGCUGGGGUCGGCAGCUUGGUGGGCGGUGUAGAGCUGCCGAUGGGGUUGCUGCCGCCGGGGCAGGCGGGGCUAGUGCCGAAGGGGGUGCCCGCCCGUUGUGAACCGGGCUGUGGCGGUCGUCAUUGAAGGUGACAUCGCUGCUCACGGUCACCUUGCCCUCAAUGAGGAUGCUGUGGGCGGCCGUGCCGUGCUCCGGUCGGCGGUAGGUUUCCGCCUUUGCACGAGGACCGAGUUUGUCCUGCUGGCUGGGUGGGAUGCGGACGUAGGCCAGGCAGCUGAAGGUGUGCAGGUGGCUGACGUCGGGGGGGAAGCCGUGAUUAGCUGCCCACGGCGUGGCCUCCCGGCCCUGAGAGGGGGAAACAUUGCGCAGGAGGUUGGUGUAGAGCACAGCCCCCGGCUUGUAGCUGCCCGGGAGUGCUGCGUCGUGCAGCAUCGUCCGCACACGGCCGAGGAGCAUGUGGUUGAGUCACUCCACCACUCCAUUCUGCUCCGGGGUGUAUGAUGCCGAGUGGGUGUGCACGGUGCCGUGCUGGCGCAGCCACUGCCGCAGUUGCUCGGUGAUGUACUCACCGCGUUUGUCGCUGUGCAGCAUGUGCACCCGUGCAUGGUUCAGGUGGUGGGCCUCCAGCUGCGUCACCAUGUCCUGCAGCACUUCACCCACUUGGCCUUUGCUUGCCAGCGUGCGGACGGCGGACAGACUGGUGGCACCGUCCAGCAGCAUCAGCAAGUAGCGUGCGCCCCCUCGGCCCAUGGUCGGCAUGGGCCCGCACAGGUCAGAGUGUACGACCUCCAGUGCGUGCUGCGGCCGGUUGCUGCGGCUGGGAUGGGCGGUUACGGUGGCCUUCAUGGUGACACAGGCCUCGCAGACGGUCUCCGCCGCCUGGUGUAGUGCUGCUGGAGUGACCUGUGGUCCCUGCACCAGCUACUUGCUGAUCAGCUGCUCCAGCACGCGGAAACCGAGGUGACCGUACUGGCGGUGCAGGCGCUGUGCUGCCGCAAGUUUGGCGACUGAGCAUUCGGCGGCCCCGGGGCUGCCGUUGCCUGGUUGCCCUUUGCCGUUGCUGUCACCGUCCGGCUGGCCUCCACCAGUGUGGCUGCCGGCGGUGCUGCCGCCACGGGCGCUGGGGACAGCGGCGGCACUUCCACCAGCACUGCUAACUGCGGCAUGGCCCCCACCGGCUCUGUCGCCCACGGUGCCGAGGGCAUUGACGGUGACGUCGGUCGGCGCCUGCAGGUCCACGUCCAUGUGUAGUGCCCACACUCAUUCCAUGCAGUGAUAGCCGGGCUGUUGUGAGGGAGGCCGAUGCAUGAGAACCAGCAGCCCGUCUUGUCCGUGCUGAAUGUGCCUAUGCAGCUGCGUGUCACGAGAAAGUUGACAGAUGUUAGGAUGAGGCCCGAGCUGGGGACGUGCAGCAUGUUGUGCAGCCGGACAUUGUGUCCAUCACGUGUACGCAGGUGCAGCUGCGCUGUUCCCAUGACAUCGGCCAGCUGGUUGUUGCCCCACUCGAUCAGCCGUGGCGCGCCGGCGGGGACGUGGUUGUGCAGCAGGGAGUGGUCACCCGUGAGGUGGUACGGUGAGCCUGAGUCGAGGAUGACUCGUGAGCUGCUGCCACUGCCGUCGAUGACCAGCACUGUGGCACGGCUCUGGCGUGAGCUGCUUCCGCUGCUGCCCGAACCGCUGCCACUGCUGCCGCCUGCAGUGUUGCCGCCGUUGCGGUGGCUGUUGCCGCAUCAAGCACGGCCGCGUUCACGUGUUCCGUCGGCCCCGCUGUUACCGUCAUUGCCGCUGCCAGUGUCCCUGCCGCCGCCGUCACAGUGGCGGUUGCGGCUGCCUCAACUGAUGUUGCCGGCGGCGUGCAGCUGCUCGAAUGCGUUGCUGUGGUGAAGGCCGACGGACUCGUCCGCCUGCUUAACGGGGCACUCGCAAAUGUAGUAACCAGGCUGUCCGCAGUAGCGGCAGGUGUCGCCGGCCCCCACGGCGCCUGCAGCACUGGCGGUGCUGCCGACUCCACUGGUGGCACGGCCAGGGCCGACAGCUCCCACCAGGCUGGUCUUGCUUGCUUGGGUCUUGAGGUUGUUGUCCUUCUCCUGCAGCAUGAGCACGAGCUGUGGGGUCGUUAAGUUGGGCUGAUACAUCGUGAACUCGAUGGUGAUGGCGUACUGCAGAGGCAGGCCAUGGAGAAUGGCGUGGCGCACCGUGCUCUCGUCCCACUGGCCGCCGGCCACAAUUAUAUCGCUACAGAGCUGCUCUGCCCGCUAAAUGAAGUCAGCGGUUGUCUCCCCAUCACGCAUGUUCAGCUGCAUCUGCGGCUCAACCAGGCUCAGCCGGGCCUGGGAUGCAGAACGGAACUGUUGCUGUAAGAGCUGCAUGGCGGCGAGACCGGUUGGGCAAUUCAUGAGCAACUGCUUGAUGGGCAGUUCACAGGACAGACGCAGGUAGCUGAGCGCCUGUGCGUCCUCCUCCAGGGCGUCUUGGGAGUUGCGGCUCGGAGGCGACGGGUUGUUGAUGUAGCUCUUCAACUUGGAUGUUGCGAGGAAAUCGCCUAACUCGCCGAGCCUGUGGGAGUAGUUCGACCCAUCCCAGAGGAUGACGGUCUUACAUCCCUUCCCCAUGAUGGUUGGCUAGCGAGCGUGACUGAUGAUGACGCGUUCCCCGCCGCUUUUCUGGCAACUAGUUGAUGUUAUGAUGCAUCGUUGGUCCGGCGUACGACGGCUCCUGGUGCGAUUUAUGCGUCCGGAAGCCCUUUCAGCCUCCCAGGCAUGUCCCAACUGCCUCACAGCCACCGACGCAUCUCACGGCGGGGUUCUAAUUGCGUGCGCGUAUGGAUGCUCCUUACCCCGCCGCCUUUCUAGCAACUAGUUGAUGUUAUGAUGCAUCGUUGGGCCGGCGUACGACGGCGCCUGGUGCGAUUUAUACGUCCGGAAGCCCUUUCAGCCUCCCAGGCAUGUCCCAACUGCCUCACAGCCACCGACGCAUCUCACGGCGGGGUUCUAAUUGCGUGCGCGUAUGGAUGCUCCUUUUCCCGCCGCCUUUCUAACAACUAGUUGAUGCUAUGAUGCAUCGUUGGGCCGGCGUACGACGGCGCCUGGUGCGAUUUAUGCGUCCGGAAGCCCUUUCAGCCUCCCAGGCAUGUCCCACCUGCCUCACAGCCACCGACGCAUCUCACGGCGGGGUUCUAAUUGCGUGCGCGUAUGAAUGCUCCUUUUCUUGCCGCUUUCCUAACAACUAGUUAAUGCUGUGAUGCAUCGUUGGUCCGGCGUACGACGGCGCCUGGUGCGAUUUAUGCGUCCGGAAGCCCUUUCAGCCUCCCAGGCAUGUCCCACCUGCCUCACAGCCACCGACGCAUCUCACGGCGGGGUUCUAAUUGCGUGCGCGUAUGAAUGCUCCUUUUCCUGCCGCCUUUCUAACAACUAGUUAAUGUUGUGAUGCAUCGUUGGUCCGGCGUACGACGGCGCCUGGUGCGAUUUAUGCGUCCGGAAGCCCUUUCAGCCUCCAGGCAUGUCCCCACCUGCCUCACAGCCGCCGACGCAUCUCACGGCGGGGUUCUCAUUGCGUGCGCGUUCGCAUGCUGCAUGUCCCGCCACCUUUCUGGCAUCUAGUUGAUGGUAUGAUGAAUCGUUGUGCGAUGUAGGGCUGCGCCUGAUGCGAUUUCGUUUGCGGAAGCCCCCCCUGAGUGCUGCCAAGCAUGUUAUUCUCUCAUGAGACUGCGUGAAGGUUUACGAACUGAGUAUGCGACCAACACAUAAAACAUCGCAUGUGAAUUGUUAUGUCUUGCGAUUCAUCAAAGGUAAAUCGUGUGUGCUUGUUGUGUGUUAGCUUCGGCCGCAUUAAGCUUGACGCAACGAGCCUUCAUACGCUUGAAACGCAACGUUUGUUUGCAUGCGAAUUGCGUUGCGAUAUGUGUGCGUUUGGCGAGUGUUAGGCCGCGUUAAGCUUUACGCAAUGAGCCUUUAUACGCAUGAAACGCAGCAUGUAUUAGCAUGCGAAAUGCGUUGCGAAAUGUGUGCGUAAGGUGAGUGUUAGGCCGCGUUAAGCUUUACGCAAUCAGCCCUCAUACUCAUGAUACGCAACAUGCAUUCGCAUGCAAAUAGCCUUGCGGACUGUGUGCGUUUCAUGUGCGAGUGGACGCGAAUUGCUUUACGCAUUGUCUCCCCACACGCACGAAUCGCAAUAUGGAAUCGCAUGCGUAUCGCCUUGCUACACAUGCGCGUAUGCUUCGCGUUUGAACAUACGCACGGAUGAAUUGUUCAAGUCGACCAAAACGACGCAAGUUUAUUUCCAAAUAAACCUUUACAAUCUGAAAAUUAUAAAUUUUUAAAAAACUUGGCCAGAAGGGCCGAUUUCCGCUUUUCCAUAGCCGUUGUGCGUUAGCUCUUUGCGUUACAAAAGCAUGCUCAUUCGCACCUAGGUUAGGCCUAACGCUAAGAUUCGCACCGUUACGCGAACUAACGCGAGCUANNNNNNNNNNNNNNNNNNNNNNNNNNNNNNNNNNNNNNNNNNNNNNNNNNAGCAACUAGUUGAUGUUAUGAUGCAUCGUUGGGCCGGCGUACGACGGCGCCUGGUGCGAUUUAUACGUCCGGAAGCCCUNUCAGCCUCCCAGGCAUGUCCCAACUGCCUCACAGCCACCGACGCAUCUCACGGCGGGGUUCUAAUUGCGUGCGCGUAUGGAUGCUCCUUUUCUUGCCGCUUUCCUAACAACUAGUUAAUGCUAUGAUGCAUCGUUGGUCCGGCGUACGACGGCGCCUGGUGCGAUUUAUGCGUCCGGAAGCCCUUUCAGCCUCCCAGGCAUGUCCCCACCUGCCUCACAGCCACCGACGCAUCUCACGGCGGGGUUCUAAUUGCGUGCGCGUAUGGAUGCUCCUUUUCUUGCCGCUUUCCUAACAACUAGUUAAUGCUAUGAUGCAUCGUUGGUCCGGCGUACGACGGCGCCUGGUGCGAUUUAUGCGUCCGGAAGCCCUUUCAGCCUCCAGGCAUGUCCCCACCUGCCUCACAGCCGCCGACGCAUCUCACGGCGGGGUUCUAAUUGCGUGCGCGUAUGAAUGCUCCUAUGUCCCGCCACCUUUCUAACAACUAGUUGAUGUUGUGAUGCAUCGUUGGUCCGGCGUACGACGGCGCCUGGUGCGAUUUAUGCGUCCGGAAGCCCUUUCAGCCUCCAGGCAUGUCCCCACCUGCCUCACAGCCGCCGACGCAUCUCACGGCGGGGUUCUAAUUGCGUGCGCGUAUGAAUGCUCCUAUGUCCCGCCACCUUUCUGGCAUCUAGUUGAUGGUAUGAUGCAUCGUUGUGCGAUGUAGGGCUGCGCCUGGUGCGAUUUCGUUUGCGGAAGCCCCCCCUGAGUGCUGCCAAGCAUGUUAUUCUCUCAUGAGACUGCGUGAAGGUUUACGAACUGAGUAUGCGACCAACACAUAAAACAUCGCAUGUGAAUUGUUAUGUCUUGCGAUUCAUCAAAGGUAAAUCGUGUGUGCUUGUUGUGUGUUAGCUUCGGCCGCAUUAAGCUUGACGCAACGAGCCUUCAUACGCUUGAAACGCAACGUUUGUUUGCAUGCGAAUUGCGUUGCGAUAUGUGUGCGUUUGGCGAGUGUUAGGCCGCGUUAAGCUUUACGCAAUGAGCCUUUAUACGCAUGAAACGCAGCAUGUAUUAGCAUGCGAAAUGCGUUGCGAAAUGUGUGCGUAAGGUGAGUGUUAGGCCGCGUUAAGCUUUACGCAAUCAGCCCUCAUACUCAUGAUACGCAACAUGCAUUCGCAUGCAAAUAGCCUUGCGGACUGUGUGCGUUUCAUGUGCGAGUGGACGCGAAUUGCUUUACGCAUUGUCUCCCCACACGCACGAAUCGCAAUAUGGAAUCGCAUGCGUAUCGCCUUGCUACACAUGCGCGUAUGCUUCGCGUUUGAACAUACGCACGGAUGAAUUGUUCAAGUCGACCAAAACGACGCAAGUUUAUUUCCAAAUAAACCUUUACAAUCUGAAAAUUAUAAAUUUUUAAAAAACUUGGCCAGAAGGGCCGAUUUCCGCUUUUCCAUAGCCGUUGUGCGUUAGCUCUUUGCGUUACAAAAGCAUGCUCAUUCGCACCUAGGUUAGGCCUAACGCUAAGAUUCGCACCGUUACGCGAACUAACGCGAGCUAACGCGGACUUAACGCGAUCACCCGUCGUCAUAGUGCUCUCGGCACCCACCCACAUCAUAUAACAAUAAAUCAAGACUUGAAGGUCGUACAUAUGGCUACGGCUCUCAAUCUACCUUUUACGGACGUGGGAGAAACCACAGUCAGGGACUGGGAUAUGCAACUAGACAAAGUCUGGGCUCGGUUUCGACGCAUUUCUGUGUUAAAUCUUUCCAUUUUUGGGCGUGCACAUGCAGCGGCUGCAUAUGGGCUGCAUCGUUUUACGUGGCAUAUGGAACACGGGGGGUUUCCCCCAGAAGCUAAACUCAUGAAUAUUGAGGCUAAAGCGGCCAAGCUUAUUGAUAGGAACCUCGGACCGGUCGCACAAGAAAGACGACUCACCGGGGUUCCUAAAUAUUUGUUAUAUGGCCAUCCAACUUUGGGCGGUUUUGGGGCAUUAGCAGUACGACAACAUGUGCAAGCGCGAUGGGCAUGCUGGGCAGUGCGUUUUGUGGGAGCAUUACUCCAACCAGUCUUAGUGCGUCCGCCUUGGGUGAUGGUCAUGCAAUCUUUCCUACAUAGCCUUUACCCCAAAUAUAAUCCUAUGUGUAUUUUUACGUCCCAGGUGGGAGUGCCUUGGUUUGGAUUAAUCGUUUUACCGCCAGAUGUUCAGCGCAUUGUGACAGCGUUGGCAUACCUUCCCCCAGUGGAAGAUGUUGAUGAUCACCCGUUAGUUCCUAAUGCGUGGUGUUGGAAUUUGCCAUUGUGGGGAAACCCUGUUCUUCCAGAAAAAAGGGUGAAUGUCCAGUUAGAUAACAUCCGCCCGGGACUAGAAUUUCGACAUCAAGCCCUCCUGGGCUGUAAAGCAUUGCAUACGUUNNNNNNNNNNNNNNNNNNNNNNNNNNNNNNNNNNNNNNNNNNNNNNNNNNUAAAAUACACAUAGGAUUAUAUUUGGGGUAAAGGCUAUGUAGGAAAGAGUGCAUGACCAUCACCCAAGGCGGACGCACUAAGACUGGUUGGAGUAAUGCUCUCACAAAACGCACUGCCCAGCAUGCCCAUCGCGCUUGUACAUGUUGUCGUACUGCUAAUGCCCCAAAACCGCCCAAAGUUGGAUGGCCAUAUAACAAAUAUUUAGGAACCCCGGUGAGUCGUCUUUCUUGUGCGACCGGUCCGAGGUUCCUAUCAAUAAGUUUGGCCGCUUUAGCCUCAAUAUUCAUGAGUUGAGCUUCUGGGGGAAACCCCCCGUGUUCCAUAUGCCACGUAAAACGAUGCAGCCCAUAUGCAGCCGCUGCAUGUGCACGCCCAAAAAUGGAAAGAUUUAACACCGAAAUGCGUCGAAACCGAGCCCAGACUUUGUCUAGUUGCACAUCCCAGUCCCUGCCUGUGGUUUCUCCCACAUCCGUAAAAGGUAGAUUGAGAGCCGUAGCCAUAUGUACGACCUUCAUGUCAUGAUUUAUUGUUAUAUGAUGUGGGUGGGUGCCGAGAGGUAACAGCUCAACCUUAUCCAGGUUAAGUUGCUGUCCAGAAGCCUGUGCGUAUACCCUCAUACAUUCAAGGAAAGCCGGAAUUGCUUGGAUGCCUUCUAAAACAACUUCCGUGUCAUCAGCAAAUUGCACACCUGUAACCAUUUCUGAAUUAUUUUGNGGUAAAUGAAUCCCCACUCGGUUGUACUGUAACCAACACAGUAACGCCUGCGCGACNNNNNNNNNNNNNNNNNNNNNNNNNNNNNNNNNNNNNNNNNNNNNNNNNNNNNNNNNNNNNNAAACGAUGGUCUGUCGAAGUGCACACUGGAAUGGUAGAGGAAGCGAUGAAGGGGGUGAGGUUUGUGGAAGUAUAGAUUCGAUCAAGACGUGACCCUCCCGACACACUUGUUUUAUAGAAAAACGAAAGGUCGCGACGGGUAGGGUGGAGGUAGCGAUAUGUGUCUACCAUAUCCGGGCAGCAUUCGGAGAAAGCCUUGGCUAAGGAUAAGUCCGCGGGUCUACUCCCUUCUCCUGUGGUGGAAUCUAGCAUCGGAUUAUGGACAAAAUUAAAAUCUCCAGCCCAAAGCAAAUGAUCAUCCUGUCCUAUCCUAUUUACCACAUCGCCAAGAGAAUGCACACACGCCUUCCUCUGAUCUAUCGAGUAACUAGAUGUCAUGAGGUACAAAUUAAUCAAAUGAAUACGGUGACCACACCACGUGAACGAAACCGACGCGCUACGGCCUUGGGGAAUGUUAGCCGGAAGUAGUCGUGCCGGUGUUUGUAUUAUUUUAAAGUCGCGAUAAAGAUCUUUGCGCACUAGCACUAACACUCCAGCCGUCCGGGCAUUGGUCGUGGGGGAUUGUGCUAUUAUAUCCCAUCCCGGUAUCCCUAUUUUCUGAGCCGCGAAUUGCAAUUCUCUAGUGAGAAUUGUCAGGUCUCCAUCUCCCAUAUGAUGUGUCUCCUGUAAACAAAUGACAUCUAACCUAUGUUGGGCCCAUACUCUAGCCGCAGCAUGGAUACGAGUAAAUGCCGAAUGCGUGAAUAAACGACACACGCUACGCGUAAGGUAGGGCUUGCCCAAAACAGGAAUUACCAAAGUCUGUAAUGGGUGUGGUGUAAUUAGUGUGGUGCAUUGAUGGAAGAAAGGCAAUUAGAUGUAUUUCAAUGCCGUACAUGUUUAUAAUGCGACUUGAAGGAGUGGACGUACUUAUGCUGAAAGGAAUGGCUGAGAGGAAUGUAGGGUGCUUGAUCAGAAGUCGUGGACGAUACUGGUGUUAAUAAUUUUCCGCGGCCGAGGUGUGUGUGUUUGUUACAGCCGAGGUUACGGCCGAGAUGAUUGCUCACUUGCAUGCCAAGAGAAAUGCAUGAAAUGACGGGCACAUCAAGGAUGUAACUGGUGUGUCGCGCUGAAACAAGGGCACGCCAAUCUAACAAGAAAUGCCUGUUAUUCCAAGUCGUCGGCUGCUGGUUCCCCUAGCGGACACGCUAGACUUGCUGCAUUUUCUGAGUCAGAAGCGUGUGCACUUCUGCCAGGCUGGGCAACAUGCAGUCGUAUUCGACACGUUGUUGUGAUGAGUAUAACGUAAAGGAAUAGCAAUUGGUUCAUGGGCUGUUACACCAUUUGCGGCACAUAUUCAUACAGGUUGAGUACCGACUGUGACUCUGCCUCUGCAGUAAAAUUUAGCGCAGCGGCGGGUUGGUGGCUUGAGCCGUUCCACGCCAGCUGUGAGGAAUAGUCAGCCUGUGUUAACACAACACUGAUGCGAAAAUAUUCCGAAUCGUAUUAAGUAAGAGCCGCACCAGAGGCGCCACCAAGAAUGAGCGCGGUAACACUACAACUACCGGUACAGGGUAUCUCUUCUUACUUGGCCUCUGCCUAGUAUAGUCGCGAGGUCUCAUUUCUGUAACAUCCAAGUUAUGUUUUAACAAGAAACGCCAUCGGGGAUUGACAGAAGAUACGUGGUUAACUUACACAAUUCACUUUAAAGGAGGUACGGGAAGUUCGUGUACGUCAUGUGCCGUUGGGGCAGGCAUGGACCUGACAACUCCGGGAGAGAGUUGCCACACUACAAUGGACAAGACGCGGAUGCACUUAGAACUCACACAAAAAGCGAGCAUUGUCUCUUUGCAACUUAUUAUCAACGUACACAUCUAUGAAUGUUGGCCAUCACUAUUUAUCCAGACAGACCACACACAGCCCAGGCAAUAAGUUCGGAAUGCAUGACAGUAUCCAUAAUUGUGAUGUGGUCUCCUGAACGCUCCUUGACGCAAAUGCAUUGAUUGCCGCGCGGGUGUGAUGAUAAAACAGGGCGGCGCAUCCUGUUGGUCCCCUCAAAAGUGCAUCCACGGUAGUCAGGCGCCAGAGAGUUGUUUGCUGGGGCCAUCCUUGCCGCCUGUUGUUGCGAUGUGCCGGCGGCGUCCAGUAAUUUGUGUCGUUGCGGUGGUUGCGAUGGCGGUGACGACAGACGUUGCUGCUGCCACAGGCGUGUGCGUGGCCAAUUUGCUUGUCGUCGGGCCGGAUUCUUGGUUUGUUCCGAGCAUGGAAUCGGCCAAUGAAGCCGUUGUCACUCCGUACCGAAGGAUGUCGCCAUUGUUGACAACGAAGGCUCCUUGGACUGGCUGCCUCAUGCGUCCCAAGACUCGUUCUAGGCCGCUAAAGUCAUGCAGGGCGCGGUACAAGUCCGGGUUGCCGUUGUUCCCGUGCCGUAAUUUGCCCCAGAGCUGAUGCAACUUGCUGUUGUUGCCCAAGACAAGGCAAGCCGUCAGAGGCUGCAAGACGGGAAUUUGUGCAUCUGGAUGUUUGUUGCAGAGGUUGCAGGUGUUGUUCAGGAUUGUGCCCCCGCAGGUGUUGUUGGUGCACCUGAAGGAGUUGUGGUAAUAGGCGAAAAGGGUGCAGUUGUGAAAGUGAUGAAUAGUAAGUAUUAUUGAGUGAGCGGCUGGGUGCUGGACUUUGCUACGAAGAAGCAGGAUAUGCAGAUUUGAGAUUUACUUGGCGUGGCAGUAUUUAUUCAAGGGAAAGACGAGCCUAUGACCACAUGUGUCAAGUAUACGUACCUGUAGAACAGGAUGUCGUCCAGGCCUUGAAUGCGAUCGAUGAGGUCUUGGAUGAUGAUGACAGAGCCUGUAUAGGUGCUGUCGGCAAGGUUGUUGCGAGUUGUUGCCGGCACGUUGUUGUCCUCCAGCAUGCAAGCUUCUAGGAGCUCGUCAUCCUUGUCAACGUCCCCGUUCAGGAGGAUGUGCAUUUUACUUGUCGACUGCACCCGGGAUGCAUUGUUGAACUCUGUGGGAAGAGUUUGACGUGGGAAACAGGCGGAAAUUCUGAAUGCUGGAAUCUUUGCUGGAAACCUGUCCGAUUAAAUGUCAGGUAAAAGCGUGUUGGAAAUUACUGCGCUGUGUUAAACGAUAGCAUUGUGUCGCCUUGCUGUACGCAGGUUGUGUUUCCAUUUUUCGUACAUACCUGCCUUGCGUGCACCAAAGCACAGGAUUGGUUGUUUGUGGUCCGCCGCCCACUCCAGCAUUUGUGGCAAGCACGAGAAAGCUCCGUCAGCGUGCCAAACCACCAUCUGUGGGGACGGAUAUAAUGUGAAUUACAAUAAAUUCGUGUAAAGAUGUUUGAGGUUUCCCUGUGUAUUCGAAGAGAACCGGCAUAUUUACCACCGCAAGAUUAGUCUAUGUUGUAAGGAUACUGGUGAUUGAGGGAGGAAAUGGUCUAACAGACAAAUAAAGCAAGCAUGUCGGACUUACUGGCAGGUGUCGGGCGGCACCAUCCUCGCCUAGCAUCGAGAUGGUGAAGGCCACAUAUCUUGCUGCGUCUUGCGUCUUGCGGCUGAUGAGGAUGUGCAUUGGUUUCGUAAACAUAGCCUGAUCGGUCAUGACCGGCGUGCGGUGGUAUGUUGCAAUUGUGAUAAUACAGGAAUGUCAGUUGAUGUAUGCGCAAAUGCGUUUGGGCUAUUAUUUGCCUGACCAGGAUUUGUGGUGUUCGCAGGCACAGUCACAGUCACAGGCACAGUCGCAGGCACAGGCACAGAACAGGCUCGUAAUGAUCAUUAUGCCGCGCAACCUCAACAGUUUCUACACCGUAGAUAUGGGUUUCGACUGGCUGGGGCGACUGUGAGUCCCAAAUGACUAGUUGAAUUCCUAGUGCACGUGAUACCCAAGGAAAGAUAAGGGCAUCUGCCCAAGGUCCUCCAAACGCAGCAGAUUUGGCCAUGUGGUGCGUGUAGUGAACAAGGCGUUCGACUCCUGGGCUCGCGCAUCGAUCUAGAUCAAGACCAUGCAUACUGAUGGCAACUUGAGAAACCUCUGUAUGUACGUGGGACAUUUGGACAUAUAUUUCCCCCUCCGUUAAACUUCUUCCCAUCACCUUUAUUGCCUGCUCCUGUAAUGCUUUUAAUACUUGUAUAUAACUGCCAAUGGCACGCUGCAUGUGCGCAGAUGCCUGUUUUCGAAUCUCAGCACCCGUAAUCUGCCGCCUGUGAACAUGUUCUAACACAUACGCCACAGCGUCAAAAAAACAAUCCCCAACCACAAACGGGCACGCGUACCUUUUUUUGCAGACUGAUGCCAACACCGCAUCCAGCUUGUCCGAAUCAGCCGCUGCUUGGUUAAUGUUACAGCCAGCAGUAUUUUGCAGCUGCUGCACUUGAGGAAACACAAACUUCUUCCCAUCACCUUUAUUGCCUGCUCCUGUAAUGCUGUUAAUUCUUGAGUAUAACUGCCGAUGGCACGCUGCAUGUGCGCAGAUGCUUGUUUUCGAAUCUCAGCACCCGUAAUCCGGCGGCCGUAGACAUGUUCUAACACAUACGCCACAGAGUCGAAAAAACAAUCCCCAACCACAAACGGGCACGCAUACCCUUUUUUGCCGACUGAUGCCAACACCGCAUCCAGCUUGUCCGUAGAAAGGCUUAAUAACCGCCCUUUCAUUAUCAAACCCAAGCAAAGUCAGGGAACUGCAAACUGAUCUUCAAGGAUCUGCAAAUGGUCCAAAGCCGUGUUCAGUUGCUUGUGGUGCUGAAACAAUUUCCAAACUGCAAAAGCCUUCUUCGUCUUAAUCCUGGUUUUGUACCUUGGCGGCGCAAAGGCCAAUUUCCUCUCCUGGUUUGCCUGGGUUGUGUUCGGAUAUUCCUGGGGUGGGUUCGUUAAAGCCUGGGCCCUGUUGUCUUUAAAGACAAACACGGCAAUGAGAGUAUCAAAAGGAGACACUUCGGUGAUUCAUUAACAUUCCUUAAUUUUCAUAUUCUCGUCCGUACACGCCUCUUUCUGCAGUUCUCAACAAGAACGUCCUAUAAUUUAAAACAGCAUUUCCUUUCCUAAUUCAUCCUAUUUGCUUCCUAAUCCGCUUUUAACAAUCCUUACUAUUCAUAUUCUCGACCGUACGCGCCUCUUCCUGUAGUUCUCGAGUCGAGAAUUUCGACAAGAACGUUCUAUAAUUUAUAUCUACAGUUCCUUUCCGAUUCCUUUCCUAAUUACUCCUCUUUGCGUGCCGCUUGAGAAGAACUUUUGUAACCGCAUAUAGCUAAGCCUCAAUUUCACACUGAUUAAUCUCCUUCUCCCCAUUCCUCGCUUAUCCCCAUUCUCCACCUUAUACCCUCCUCCCCCUACUUGUUCCUCUUCCUCCGUCCUCUCCCCCCUCUCGUUCCUCUUCCUCCUUUCCCACUCUCCAUCAUCUGCCUCCUCUCCCUCCUCUCCCUCGUCUUUUCAACUCACUCCCCCACUCCUCUCCCUCCUCUUCCUCCUCUUCCCUAUCCCUCCUCUCAUUCCUCUUCCUCCUCUACCAAUACCUCCUCUCCCUCGUCUUACUGUGAUACAUUGCUCCUUAAUCUUGAAAAUGCGCAGCCCAGAUUAAUUACUCAACUCCGUACACAAAUCUUCCUGCAAUUCUCGAAUACAAAGUUCAUUAUUUCUACUUACUUAGGGUAUUUAUUGAAUACUAAUGGUUCACUUUCCCCGUAUUUAGGGUGACACAUCACAUAUGUCUGGUCGAUUUGCGUCAUAGGAACUUUUGUAAACGCCUUAUGCUCGGCCACCUUUUCAAGCUGCACAUCUUCCGGACAUCUGCGCAUUGCAUUUUACCAUUUUUUCACAAAUAUGCAAUAAUACCGCACCAAGGCCAGGAUCACAGCGCGUCGAUUUACGACGCCCUUGCCGGAUUGCGCAAAGAGUAAUUGUGUCUCAGUCCGAGCAUGCUCGUCCAUUUCAUCCAAUAUGUUAGUUCUUGCCCACCUUUUAGGUGGGCAAGCCAACCACCUUUUAGGUGGGCAAGCCAACUCGGAGCCAUGGAAAGCUACAGUAUCUUCGCGUUCCGAUUUAUCUGGAAUGUCUCAUUUGGCAUUUCGAUAUAAAAUGGAUAUAGCAUUCAAACGCUAUUUUUUGCGGGGCGAGAUAUGUAAGCCACUGACUGACUGACUGACUGACUGACUGACUGACUGACAGCAUUGAACCCGUGGGGCUCGGCCCCCCGAAUGGCGCUUCGCGCCCGGGGCCUCGCCCAAAAAUGGCUGACUAUGAAUUAAGUUAAUGUCCACUUUAAAAUUUAUCAGCAGGUCUGAGGCCCUGAUAACCAGUGUGCCACUAAUGCGGACUUAGUGUCCGAGGCGUUUCCACUGGGCCCUUCGGCUUUUCGCGUACGGAGCCCCUUUACGCGAUGUUUUAAGGAACUUUUGCUUUCUAUUAAUGUAUUUAACUAGUUUCUUAUCGCUUGCAUGAUUUGCUGAGCCAGGUGUGAGAUUUUUUGAACUUAAUGUUAGUGUGCGGCCAAGUGGAAACACCCUGUAAAAUGCAAAAACGAGUAAUCCCAGACAUUUAAAAGACUAUCGAGUAUCAACAUGAAUGCUUUGCAGCACCUUUGAGCGGCACCCACGGUGUGGUGCAUAAUGCCGAACAAGAAGCACAUAGCUUCCACAAAACUGGGAACACCUACAGCCUUUAUAAAGGAUAACCUUCCGACCUAUCAAUCAGGAUUUUUAUGAGGCAUCGUCAAAAGUGUUAAUCCGAGAUUGUCAAUUUGGUACCUGGUGGCCACCAGGUAGCAAAUUUGUCCCACCAAGUUUGAGCUUUUAGUAUAGGAAGAAUGCUCGCAUUUCAUAGCAUAUUAAUCUAUAAUUAAUCCGCGAAGCGCGUAAAUACGGGCGGAAAUCUCUAACUAAUUGCGCCAACCUUAAUCCGCCUUAUCCGUCCUAAUCCGCGCGAUGUUUCCAUAUGCGACGGAUUAAGCCUUAAUCCGCAAUUUUUAAUCCAAGUGGAAACACCCCCUUCCUAUUAAGGCAAAGGUUGAAUAGACGCGAAGGUAGUUGCGGCCGCCUGCCGCAGUUAUAGUUGAUUUUACAUUACGACAUUAGAUUACGACAUUACAUUACGAGAUUACAUUACGACAUUACAUUACGACAUUGCAGAUAAUGGGGUGGAUUCGCAUGUGGUAAUGGACCAUUUUUUCCUUUUCCAUGACGUUGUCAAUUUUACUGCCAUUGAGAAUCGCAAAAACUUCGUCCAAAGCGGCCGCUAGGGCAAACGCCAUCGGGGCUUGCGCGGGAUGCAGCGUCAUUGCACAAGGCAGGGGCGCCGAAAACCCUUCAGUUAUAUACUUUGUGACUCUCUAAGGGGAUAUGCUGAAAUAGAAUAGCUACGCAGUUCGCGCCAACGAAGACAUUGUACGAGCGGGAAGUCGUCCGGCCUUUGCGGAUAAUUAUCGCAUAUUUGCACCCUUUGCGGAAAUAGUUCGGAAAGGGCGGAUAUCUUAGAAAACCUUAAAAUGCAGUUAUUAUUAUGUAUUUGUGCAUGGUAUAGCUAUACGAAAACUUGUGGCGGUCGUGCGCCCUGUCAGGAACAGUGCUAAGUUACAAGUUACAAGUGCCGCACGAGUGCGGGGGGGUCCGUCAAAGCCGGGAGGCCAUGGACUAUAUAUAUUGAAAGUUAAGUUCAAUUAAAGCCGAACACUUUCCGCAGUGCUCCAAUAAAAUUACUUACGUGCGGCGAGUCUAUCCAAGCAAGCUUAAGCCUUCAGGCCUUCGCCAGGUCAUUUUCGCAGCUAAGAUGCGAUGUAAAUCCAUCGCUGUAAGGUGUUUUACAAUACAGGUUGCCAAAAAGAAAAUGACGGUGCAGAUCACUGCUUUUGUCGGCUUGGAUGUAAAACCUCACAAGCAGGGACAGGGACAUCGUUCAGUGUUGAAGUAGCAAGGAUCAAGUAAAAUAUGCAAAGGCUGUUGUUAUAAAUUGUGCGGCUAGGUUCCAUGCGAUGGUAAGGAUCAACGGACCCGCACUCUUCCGCUCACAGGAAGCGAAAAAGAAAUUAUAUUUAUAUUUAAUAUGAAACAUAUAUGUGCGUGCAGGGGCCUUUAGGACGCCUGUACGGGAGUCAAGGAUGGCGCGAUGGACUGGCCUACGAAACAGUAACUGAAAAUGGUUCCAUAUGAAACACGGAAGUAUUUCAGCGUCAGAUAUGGCGGUGAAGAACUGAACCUAAGACCCCAGGUGCCCCAAUCGGUUUUAUUACGUCGAUGCGGCUGAACGAGAAACGGCCCGACCAAAUCCUGAAUUCAUGCGUACACAACUCGCUCAUAGCGCUACAGCUGUAUUGUGGCCCCACGAGGAAGGAAGGCAAACGGGAGAAAAGGAGGUAAAAUGAGGGCGACGAAAGCCACUGCCGACUUAAGUACUUUGCCUGACCCAUGACACUUAACUACUUUUUCGACAUGACUGCUAAUGCGCGUACCUGCUCAGCAGAAAGCGGGACGGCAUCCGCGCGAAAUUUGGGCAAUGCCAAGUCGCUGAAAACAGAAGACAGGUGCGCCAACUCUGAUUCCUCAGAUGAAGCACGUUGGCGCGAAAGGUUGGCGCGCAAAGGCGCGCGGAAAAGGGAACCAUAUUCAGCCAGCCGCCUGGUCAGGCCACCGCGUGUCAUCAGCUAUGGUUAGUCGAGGUGUCGCCUGAUGCGGUGGCACAAGUGGUUGACAGCUACACCAACAUACCACACCACAAUGGCAGGCGGCUGGCAGAGGUUAAGGCCUGACUUCUGCUCCCAGUCGACCCAGUCGACCCGGGUUCAAAUCCGCCUGCCGGCUCCUCGGGGGUUUGAGGAGUGAUGAAAUGGGCGAGGGGGUUUGAGGAGUGAUGAAAUGGGCGAGCUGACCAGGAACUAAGUUGAUGCGCCGUUGAUCCGCUAGAUUUGGUUGGAUGCUGGUGGUGAGUUGCUGAACCCAACGAAUACAUUCUGAAGUCGGAUGGGGUGACGGAUUAGGGUGCCCCUCUAGCAGGGGAGAGCAGGGACUGCCCCGGGAAAGGGGGCCGCUGGCGAAGUUAACCACCCUGUAACAACAUACAUAUUGCAAGCCCAGACCGUGCUGACACUCCUAAGCCUGUCAGCUGGACCAGCUCGACACUUUGCCCCCAUUUCCGACGCAAAGGCUCUUUAGGUCAUUAAGCCCCAAAGAUCAAAUCACCUUUUAGAUUCCCUUUUUGAGAUAUAGGGGUCCCCUGUAAAUGGUCUGCUGCAAAAAAGCAACACGUGCCCUGUAAAACAACAGUGACCUGCCCUACCAGCCGCAGACCUUCUGUAUACCUGUAGACUGUAGACCUGUUGUACAAUGCAGCACGCACACACACACACACACACACACACAUCAGUAGGGGUGCAGCAGUGCGUGUGGGACGUGGUCAGCCUCGCAGCACUGCCCGCCAGAAGGAACAUGCACGGGUGGGACCGCGGGCGGCAACCCCCGCAAUCCACACCCCGCACCCGAGGCCCCAGCAGCUCCGGGGCUGGAGGCGGUGCUCGGCUUCUGGCAGCAGGUUUAGGACUUUGCAGAACUCGGCGUGCCCCAGCACGGCUGGCACAGCGUGGGCCCCGACCAUUCCAUCCUAUCAGUGGUGGACGGGCGCCUGCGUUGAGUACAGCCAGUAGGGCUGGGAGAGGAAGGGGCAGGGGGAUAAAAAGGGAUGCUAGGAGGAACCCGGUAGAUGGGCUAUCCCGCUGGUGGGGGGGGAUAGGCCUGAGGGUUUCUCUUUGUUGGUCUGGGUCGGGGGCUUUUCGAGGGAGAAGGCUCGCCUCGCCACAGGUUGGGCCAGGCAGCUUCAGUGAGAGGUUUUUUGAGAGGUCGUUGCUGUAGGGCUUGGGAGGAGUGGCAGGCGAACGGGGUGGCUGUAGCGCAGGCUGGGUGACGCUGUGUGAGCUGUGCCUCGAGUGGUGUGGUGCUGCCUCGAGGUGAGCGGCCGUUGUAUCCGAUAUAGUACAGAGAUACAGUCACACCGUUAAUAUGAGUUCCUUGAAUAUUCCGUUCUCACGUGCUUUGGAAAUUUUGAUGUGAAUUUGAAGUUCAACGCACAAAUUAAGGUGAAGGUUGUGCCGAGAGUUGCUUACGCGCCGUUGGGAUCCAAGUCGACGACCGUUGAGCAGUAGCCGCGCAUAGCCAGCUGCGAUAACGAUUGUAAAUUAAUAUUCAACGCUCAUGGAAAUGGCAGCAUCUGUCACUAUUUUAUUAUACGAAACAUGUUCUUUAUUGGCUCGAUCACGGUGGUUCGGUAGUAAAGGAGUUUCAGGUUUGGAAAAUCCUGAAACCCGCUUAUUACGGGUUAAGAAUGCACGUUUAGGGAACAUAUGUUUGAUUAUUUUAAGAUAAAAAAAAUGCUUGAUUUUAUCUGCAUCAAGCGUUUGUGACCAAAGCCCACCAUUGGUGGUCGGGCACCGAUUUACACCGACCGAGUACGUCUCUGAAACCUGCUCGUCGGGCCUUACAACUUGCGGUACAUUUAAGUAUAGCACUUCCUAGAAAAAAUCAGAAAGUAUUUACUGAAUAAAACUUGUUGGACCGGCUCGCGUCGCCUCCACGGUAAGUCGGUCUAUUGCUCUCAGCUCUUCCUCCGGUACUGCUUUCCUUAAGCAGGAGGCUGGAACUAUAGCGAGGAGGCGCGCCACAUGCCUUGCAACUCUAAAAAUGUUUUUUCAUGUACUAUUUUGCGAAAAUGGCCACCUGAGUAAAAAAUCUGAUUUCAAUGCCCCUGUAGAGCCUCCUCUGGCUAGGAGCCGCUUGGAGCGUCUCGGGAGUCCACCGACUCGCGAGUUUCAACAGUGAAAGCCAAAGCUUCAGUAUCGCCACCUUCAUCGUUAUCGUUGUCGUCAUCAUCUUCAUGGUCAUGUUACCAAUGACGCUGGCAGUCCACGUCGCCCGAAAGGAACGCGCGCUUCUGUCACCGUCGAACAACCUGCACCGCCAACAGCUGCCGCUAUUCUCCUGCCUCGCAACCGUGGCAAUGCUCCGCCUGAUCCCCUACCUACUGCUGCUGUUGCUGGCGCUGCCCGGUGGCACCCUCGCACAGACUGUCCCGGGCUGCGGCUCAAGCGCCUUCAUCUAUCGCAACGGGGUCCCUGCAAAUUCGAUCGACGUGAUGUUCCGAGAUUCCCAGACAGGGGAAUCUGUUGGUUGGGGUUAUAUUGCUAUGAACUUAAGCGCAUUGACUCUACCAGAGCCCAUCGCGACCGACCAAACGGUACCCGGAACUAUAAAUAUCGCAGUGAAACUGGGGGCCUUUGUCGGAAGCAUUCAGGGCAGCGUUCAAACCGAGUCCAUGUUUCAGUCUAAUUACCCCGGCGGCGGCGCUAGUUGUUCUGGUGACUCUAAUUCCUAUAUUUCAUUCCCCAUGGACAUGCCGCAAAAUGUGGUAUUCGCCUCGACGAUGGACUACAAUGGACUCCUCACCGGCAUUCUGACAAAUCCGAUCCUCGGAAUCCCGCAAUGUCAGCCAAUUGUACUCUACCUCCUUGCGAAGUUCACAGACAAAAAUAAUUCGUCUCGUUCCGCCUACCUGGCCACGGACUGGGUGUCAGCAGGCAAUGCCUCUGACCCGGUGUGCGCCAACUCACCUACGUCCUGGGGCUAUAUUAAGGCGGAGUUUGGCGUCUGCAACUGCCCGCCAUCCCCACCACUCCUACCACCAUCACCCAACCCCCCAAUGCCGCCCUCACCUUCGCCACCUUCACCAAGCCCUCCAUCACCCUUGCCACCUAGGCCGCCAUUCCCAUUACCACCACCACCUCCACCACCACCGCCACCAAGAGUGUCACCAUCACCACCACCGUCCCCCUCCCCGCCACCACCUUUGCCGCCACCCUCUCCACCUCCACAACCCCCGCCUUCGGUCCCCUCCCCCCCUCCCCCUCCGCCAUCCCCGGCACCCCCGCUGCCUCCCCCCCCAUCCCCUCCUCCUUCACCACCUCCUUCACCUUUACCCCCACCUCCCUUACCGCCGUCCCCACCACCACCUUCUCCACCACCGCCACCCCUGCCACCCCCGCCUCCCCCCCCAUCCCCUCCUCCUCAGCCGCCCCCUCCUCGCCCACUCAGUCCCCCUCCCCUGCCACCCUCGCCAUCCCCUCCCCCCCCACUUUCCCCUUCUCCACCACCACCACCCCGCCCGCCCCCACCGGCACCUAAGGCUCCUAGGUCUCCCCGAGCCCCCAAACCCCCCAAAGUCCCCAAGGCACCCCAGCCUCCACCUCGACCCGCAAACAACCUGCUCGUCAACAAGUUCCCCUUCUCGUCCUGCAGCGCUAGUGACGUCAGCCUCACACCGUACCGGAUGACGUCACCCAUGGGGCCGUUCAACGUAACCGCCACCGCCGCCACCUACUGCUUCCGGAUCUCCGCCUCAGCAACAGUGGACAGCACCAGCCCAUGUGCGAGAAUGGUCAUCAAUGAGCUUCAAAUCGUCAUCGGUGAGUAGCUAUAUGCUACCUAGCUACCUAGCUACUUAGCUACCCAAGCUACCUAGCUGGUCGUGAUCAUCGUGGUGACCUCCAUGCACCUCAUCAGUUGUGCGCUCAACAUGCAUGUAUGUGUGUGGUGUGUGUAGGGGUCCCUCACUCCGCACACCGCCUUCAUCCGCUCACGGCUCACCCAGCUGCAGGGAGCUUUAUUUCCCCUCCAAUAUUAAUCAAGAUAAUCAACACCGACUCCGCCCUGUUUCCCCCCCGACCCCAAACACCCUCCCCGGCCUACAUGGUUCACCGCAGACCCCAGCUGCGUGGAGUCCUUCCCCAACUCCUUCAGGGUCACCACCGUCAACAGUGUGACGGUGUCCCCCGUCUACAGCUACAGGACAUGGCGGGAGCAGACGUACGGUGUGAUGACGAUCACGUCCCUGGCGAGUACCUUCCCCGUAACCCCCGCUGGCGGCCUGUAUGUAUGUCUGGCCAUGAGUCGAAACAGCAGGUGUGGCACUCCGGCGGGGCUGUGCUACGGAAACAGCUGCGCGUACUCGCUGCUCAAUGCGGACAACAGCUGCUGCCCCGCCAGCCAGGUGCCGUACUAAUAGGUGGAAGGUUCCUGCAGUAUUGACGACUAUGCGAAGCAUGGCAUAAGUAGCCCUUGAUGCAGAGAUGGCUUGGCCGGAGAGGAUAGGCUAAGUUAAGUACCAAUGAUACAAAAUAUAGGCGUAUUAUCCCCAUGACUUGUCAUGUUGAUGUGUUCAUAUCACAUGUGUAUUAUCAAAGCCAUUGUUAAGGAUGAGGAUUAUGUUGUCGCAAGGGGUACGAGUUCGAAUGUCACGAACUUCGAAAAGCUCCGAAAAUAGAGAUCAUCACGAAAAAAUUUGUCCACAACUUCUUGCACGAGGUUCCUUCUUGCACGAGGUUCCUAGGUCGGCGCCGAUUUGCCCCUGGCCCUGUGCUGCCACGAUUAAAUUCACUGGCAUAGAUGUAUGUGCGCCACGUCAGGGUGCUUGAUGGCGGGUUGGUUGGAUAUCCAACCACAUAUGGCAGUGGACGGUUUUAGGCGAAGACUCGCAGCCCGGAUAGGGGCCGCAGGGUUCUUCAUAUACCUGCGAGAAAAUAACGUGUGAUAACCAAUAGCGCAGCCUACCGAGCCCCCACCCUCCCAACCCCUUCAUCAUCGGUCCCCUCCAAUCACGACGGGAUCCAUGUCCUGGAGUGAUAAACCUUUUAACAUGUUUUUUCAACAUGUUUUUCAAUGUUGCUUCGUCUCAUGAUGGUUUCCGUCCCGGUUCUAAGGCACGUGUGUGAGCAUGUGUGUGUGUGUGUGCACCAAGCUUAUUACCGCCAUCAUCACACUGCAUCACGCCGCCGUGGCAACGUGUGCAAUCGCCUCAAAAGUAUCUACGACCUGUAACAGCGGUUUGCGCUGCUCGGGGUCCCGCCACCCGGACGGAAACCAUCAUGAGACGAAGCAACAUUGAAAAACAUGUUGAAAAACAUGUUAAAAGGUUUAUCACUCCAGGACAUGGACCCCGUCGUGAUUGAGGGGACCGAUGAUGAAGGGGUCGGGAGGGUGGGGGCUCGGUAGGCACGUAAUAUCAUAAUAUCAUAAUAAUAUCAUAAUAUUUCAUUAGAACCGUUGCUAGUGUUUCAACUCUUGCUCUGGUUUGAUGGCGAAUGUAAUUAUCAUCCUCAUAGUCUGUAAUUACGUGAGCUUAUCUUCAGCAGCAGAAGAGUCCCUCGCUGAGUGAAGCUCUACCAACUGGCCGAUUACGCGGGACAGUUGAUGUAUGAUCGUCGUACAGGCAAUGAGGAUCGCUUAGCAGAUACCAAGUGGAAGAGGAUAGAGUCCACACCAAAUGGGAUGCCAAAUCGUUACACGAUUGGGAAGAGCGAAUUAAUAAGCCAUCUUAAGCAUACAACAGUUGCGCAGCACGUUAAGCGCUAAUUAUAGUUUAAUUAUAGUUUAAUAUGCUAUGAAAUGCGCGAAUUCUUCCUAUUCUAAAAGCUCAAACUUGGUGGGACAAAUUUGCUACGUGGUGGCCACCAGGUACAAUCUCGGAUUAACACUUUUGACGAUGCCUAAAAAAAGCCUGAUUGAUAGGUUGGAAGGUUAUCCUUUAUAAAGGCUGUAGGUGUUCCCAGUUUUGUGGAAGCUUUGUGCUUCUUGUUCGGCAUUAUGCACCACACCGUGGGUGCCGCUCAAAGGUGCUGCAAGCCUUGCAAGCCUUUCCAGGUUGCAGAAGUAAUGAUGCAUAGCAGCAAUGAACCGGAACCACCAAACGCAACCUGUUUCCUGGCCCAUCGCGAUUGUAUCCAUAUGAGGAACAUUGAUGUUUGGCCCGCUCGCUGUUGACAACCGGAAUGGCGUCAUUGUCGUCGGCUGGCUGCAGCAUUGCAUCCACAUUGCCUACGACCCCUACACCGUCUUCAUUAACGUCGCUAAUGGCUUCAGUGAAAUUUAGUAUCUGCUUUAAUGGCCUUCAAUGCUUUGGGAGCUUCGGGUCCGAAUGUUUUGCAGCGUUUGGUCCGGUCAGAAACAGUCCGAUUCCUCGUUGACUUUUGGGCGUGAGCUUCCUAACAGUAUCCAUGGCAUUAAAGUACUAUGAUAUGGGUAACAUGUAUGUCUCCUGUAAGAUUCUAGCGGCUUUGGCAUGGACAGUCCAUUUUUGGCUGGAGGAAAAACGGUUGGAACAUUAUUUAUUCUUAACUUUCAGGACCACGAACAUUUUUUAUUCCGAAUUCGGAAUAUAUUCCGCAAAAAAAUAACGCUGCCUCAUGAUGGCCACUUUCGCCUCGCCUUUCACGUUUCUUCUACACGCUGGCGUUCAUAUUCUUCUCACGGAGUUGAUCUCCUACGUAAAGGCUAUGGAGCACCUGGACCGUUCGGGCGAGCCCUUUUGAGGCAAUAUUUCCGAACUCAAGAUGGGCCCACCCUGCCCGUGUCAGGCAUUCGUCGCGUUUCGCGUUUCGCGUGUGCUGUGGUCCGUUUGGGGCGGAGGUUCGCAUCCGGUUUUGCCCACUUUAGGCAACCCGCACAUUCACCGGCUCAGGAUCAGUGAUUUUUUUUUCAUUUAGGGGGGGUCUCAAUUUAUUCCAACCUAAGUAACAAAGUUGCUAGCGUCACCGUAAUGUAUUCCUUGGGGGCGCUGGGGGACCCCCCAGACCCCCCCCCAUAAUUUACAACUCCCCUCAUAGACAAAGAGGCACGCACUGCGUUGGCGCGUUUUCGUUCAUGUGCGCACUCUUCAUGCACAUGCAUACAUAGUUCUGGCAUUGUUUGUGAACAAAAAGUAAAUCCGACAAAGCAAAGGCCCAAAGCAAGCAACCGCAUAGCAAAUCACAGGCCGUCACCCGCCACUGCAAACCACAGCACACUAGGACUCUACCGGUUCAUCAUGUACCGGCCCCUGCUGCUGCUGUCCAGCCACUCCCUCAGUGCGUCACGGAACGGGAACGUGCCCAGGUCGAACAGGUCCUGGGUAAACAUCCGCACACAUAAUGCUAGGUGCGGGUUGGGCGCCUCGCCGCAUUCGUUGUUGUCGAGCUGAUUGGGUGACAGCUUGCGCUUAUGCUGAUCACAACCGCCAUGGAAGGCAGGGGUAAUGGCGCCCGUGUCAUCGGUCGCCGCUGGCAGCAACACCAUUGCCGAUGCAUUACCGACAACAGCACCGCCGUCCCAAACGUCUUUAUCAGGAAAAAAAUCAGGCUUAUCUUGCUGUUUUGGUGUUUGUUAAGCAGCCUCUCGCACAAAUGUGUCCGGUCGUACUUCGCGAAUAAAAGGUCCGUACAUGACGCCCCAAAAGCCAGGAGCGAAUUUUACCGCGCAGAUGCGCGCGUGCGAUUCUCCAAAUGCGCCUGUACAAGUGUAUAUAAAUUUUCUUGGCGGAAAAGGACCAGGUGCGCCAGCGCAUUGCGCAGGUGGGCAUGUUGGCCAUAGUCGCACCCGGCAUACAGGCUGGACUAUUGCGUGGCUGCUUUGCAGUAUCUGAAAGCACCAAAAGCCUACGUCGUAGCUUGCAACACUGGGCUCGUGAAACUGCCGCAAGAAGAUGAAGCGCUGGCGAAGAGGCAGUUGUGUGCAGCACCUUGUUCAGAGUAAAGUCAAAUUACAAAGUUGCGCAAAGUAUAACAUACAUAAACUGAAUUAAACAUAAGAACAGAUAAGACGUUUAGAGCCUUGUCGGUGACAUGGACGCCGCUGUUGGCUUGGAACAGCUAUUUGCUGUGCAUAGGGACGUGCCCGCGUUAGCCGUGUUGCAACAGCUCAGGAUGGAUUUCAGCCAGCAACCGCCUGAAGAGCUGCUGCACAACCACCGGGAAUGUCUUCAGUUGAGCACGUGUAGUUUUGGUCGGCGGGGUCGAGCAACGUACGCAAUGCGCACAGAAACCAAGGUGCAGCGCCGCUGCUGCAAGGUGCAGCGCCGCUGCGCAAGGUGCAGCGCGCGCUGUUACAGAACGGCGUUCUGUAACAUCGCCAACAUAUCCGGUACGCGGUGGCAGGCUUGCCGAGCACGAAAUGAAGGGGGGGUCGCAUCUCACCAUUUAACUAAGCAUGCAUGUGCUCGGUUGAAUGCUCGGUAGCGUGCGAGUUUACCCCUAUCAGGAUGUUUGUUUGCAUAUCCCUCCAAGCGAGAGGGCUUGGACCUAUGCUGAUGUUCGUUCCAAGAAGUGAACUGAGGACUGAUGCUACGUUGAAAGAUUUGCACGUCAAUUCGCCCGUGCAAUAAAACGCCCUGUAACUCGCUUACCCUAAUCUCACAUUCCAAUAUGCCACUGCACUUUCCUCUCCAGCCUGGGCACAUUCUCUUCCUCGCAAACGUACUUGGGCACCUUACAAUCCAACACCAUACGGGCUUUGGAAACGCGGGCAGCUGCUUCACAAGGACCCCCCUAUUUCGGCGUUCAAGUCGUUGCCUUUUGCGUGUUUGGCUAUGUAAGUACCGGUCAUACAUUCUGCUAUGCCGCGUUGACUCACGGGCUUGACCUUCUUACGGCCCCUCAUAUCUAUUCUAUGAUCGAUAAUACUAAGUUCUGCACACUACGGAGCAAUCUGGCAGCAAUGGACGUUUUUGGCUGGAGGAAUGAAAAUGUACGGAUCGGCCUCAAUUUGUUCCUUAUUUCCAAAGGCCAAAAUGGCCUCUUUAUUCCUUAAAAGGAAUAUAUUACUUAAAAAAACACUGCUCAGGAUAUCCUGAGUUGGGUGCUUUUACCGUGUUUCGUUGGAACAACAGAGGGCAUUUAGCCCAGUGAUUUAAGUGCGCCUUGGCCUAACUAGCUGGACACUUAGUGCAAGCAAUAGGGCCCCUACAGUGUUGCCUGCUCAGGCCUGCGCCUGCUAUAUAUAUGUAUAUAUAUUUUGUAUAUCUACAAUCGGCGGAUGGCCCCCGGAUACAAUCGGCGGAUUUACGUUAUUGCCCGUGGGCCAUCCGCCGAUUGGCAUAAUAAUGAUAUGUAAUAUUACAUUAUUAAUAAUGUAAUUAUUCGCCACGUCAUUAUUAUGCCAUUAUUCGCCUGUUUUAGGUCUUAUCGUCUAUAAAUUUUGCAGUCGUGCAAUAGGUAGGCACCGUCCCUACCUAUUAUUAUACUGUGCUAGGGCGGCGCGGUCUACAUAUAGACGAUUGAAAAUUGCAGACGUUAAGUCCAUAUUCAGGAUUAUUGCCAGAACUGGACUGCGGGUAGACUCCGCCUGUGCUUUCUAGCUGCUGCUGUGUGCCGUCGAAACCGACAUGCACGCGGCUCUGCGCCACGCACCCGCUAACGCUCGCUUGACGGACUAAUGUUUUAGAUCGUAGGCGGGGCCGUUGCUGGUGAUGUUAUGGAUAAGUGAGACUGCAUCUGUGGUGUAGACUGAUGACCUCGACUGACGAUUGGUUGAGUAUUAUUGCGACAAGCCUCGCCUAGUGGCGGCGACUGUUGGCCAGCCAAAACUCACCCGAUGCGGCAGAAGCUGCUGCUGCAUGCGUAUGUCUUCUUGGUAUCUUCAAGAUACCAAACAAGUUGUUCGUUAUGCUUAGCGGGUUGCGGUGUUGCUGAUUGCCUGCUGGUAGGUUCGCCCGCAUAUGACACACACAAUCUGGUCUGGUCUGGGUUGACACUACUGCAAUUAGCGGUUUAAGGUUCUGGGUUCGAUUCCUGGGGAGACCCCCGAAUUAGUCGGGAGCGCGAGAUUAUGGCUAGCUGCUGAGAUGCGGAGUUGAGGUCACAGUUGAUGGACCAGAUUCGCACGCUGGAUUGGUGGCGAUUGCCGAACCCUCCGUCUCUUCGGGUGUUCGGGUGAAUGGAUGAGGAGGGGUCCCCGAAGGCUGGAUCCGCCGCCUUGGACUUACAGUUCGUAUGGCGAAGUACAGUGUGGUAGUGGUGGAUGGUGCUAUAAGGUGAUAAAUGAUCUAGAACUGACAAUGUGAUAAAGCGGCCCAGAAGCUUCCCACUCUGUAACAUUACAUUACAUUACAUUACACACAAUCUUACUGCUUGCCGACUACCCUAUGGCAUAAAAUGGGGGGCAACACUCCCUUAAGGUUUACCCUGCG
RNAcentral lists this long non-coding RNA (41719 nucleotides) under Volvox carteri. RNAcentral's name for it is "long non-coding RNA (VCAR_LNC002884)". Lineage: Eukaryota; Viridiplantae; Chlorophyta; Chlorophyceae; Chlamydomonadales; Volvocaceae. The record is from RNAcentral.